Molecule: ribosomal RNA, 497 nt
Filed under: uncultured bacterium
Lineage: Bacteria
Description: partial 16S ribosomal RNA
Rfam family: Bacterial small subunit ribosomal RNA
Source: RNAcentral
GACGAACGCUGGCGGCGUGCCUAAUACAUGCAAGUUGAGCGCUGAGGGUUGGUACUUGUACCAACUGCGUGAGCAGCGAACGGGUGAGUAACGCGUGGGGAAUCUGCCUUUGAGAGGGGGACAACAUUGGGAAACGAAUGCUAAUACCGCAUAAAAACUUUAAACACAAGGUUUAAGAUUGAAAGAUGCAAUUGCAUCAAUCAAAGAUGAUCCCGCGUUGUAUUAGCUAGGUGGUGAGGUAAAGGCUUAACAAGGCGAAGAUACAGAGCCCGACUGGGAGGGUGGUCCGGCACAAUGGGACUGAGACACGGGCCAAGCCUCCUCGGGAAGCAAGAGGAGGGGAUUCUUCGGAAUGGACGAAAGUCUUAACGGGGAACGGCGGGUGGGGGAAGAAGGGUUUCGGAUCGGAAAAAUCUGUUGGUAGGGAAGAACGUUAGUGGGAGUGGAAAGCGCAUCAAGUGACGGUAACUACCCAGAAAGCGACGGCUAACUACGUG